RNAcentral lists this microRNA precursor (96 nucleotides) under Nicotiana attenuata. RNAcentral describes it as "MIR6152 microRNA precursor family". It matches the Rfam family "MIR6152 microRNA precursor family". The record is from Rfam by way of RNAcentral. Lineage: Eukaryota; Viridiplantae; Streptophyta; Magnoliopsida; Solanales; Solanaceae.
UGGACAAAUUAUUGUAUUCGACUGCAUUCACGGCGUGAAACAGGGGAUUACACUGUUUUUAAACGGAAAGUGAAUCAAUUAACAUAAUAGACUCCU